Molecule: small nucleolar RNA, 138 nt
Organism: Ornithorhynchus anatinus (platypus)
Lineage: Eukaryota; Metazoa; Chordata; Mammalia; Monotremata; Ornithorhynchidae
Source: RefSeq, a predicted model, not a curated record
CACCUCUCAGGGUCUCACCUGGAGAGUUUCCAGUACUCUAUCAGUCUCGACUAUGGAAGGCAGAGUCAAGCAGGGGCAUAUCCAUUCCGCUCCUGGCUUGGGCAGUGGCUAGCGGGCGGAAGGCAAUCUGCUACAAGU